RNAcentral lists this ribosomal RNA (942 nucleotides) under uncultured Flavobacterium sp. RNAcentral's name for it is "bacterial SSU rRNA". It matches the Rfam family "Bacterial small subunit ribosomal RNA", at positions 337 to 1157 of the family's 1533-position model. Lineage: Bacteria; Pseudomonadati; Bacteroidota; Flavobacteriia; Flavobacteriales; Flavobacteriaceae. The record is from RNAcentral.
UCCUACGGGAGGCAGCAGUGAGGAAUAUUGGACAAUGGGCGCAAGCCUGAUCCAGCCAUGCCGCGUGCAGGAUGACGGUCCUAUGGAUUGUAAACUGCUUUUAUACGAGAAGAAACAACUCUACGUGUAGAGUCUUGACGGUAUCGUAAGAAUAAGGAUCGGCUAACUCCGUGCCAGCAGCCGCGGUAAUACGGAGGAUCCAAGCGUUAUCCGGAAUCAUUGGGUUUAAAGGGUCCGUAGGCGGUCAGAUAAGUCAGUGGUGAAAGCCCAUCGCUCAACGGUGGAACGGCCAUUGAUACUGUCUGACUUGAAUUAUUAGGAAGUAACUAGAAUAUGUAGUGUAGCGGUGAAAUGCUUAGAGAUUACAUGGAAUACCAAUUGCGAAGGCAGGUUACUACUAAUAUAUUGACGCUGAUGGACGAAAGCGUGGGUAGCGAACAGGAUUAGAUACCCUGGUAGUCCACGCCGUAAACGAUGGAUACUAGCUGUUGGGAGCAAUCUCAGUGGCUAAGCGAAAGUGAUAAGUAUCCCACCUGGGGAGUACGUUCGCAAGAAUGAAACUCAAAGGAAUUGACGGGGGCCCGCACAAGCGGUGGAGCAUGUGGUUUAAUUCGAUGAUACGCGAGGAACCUUACCAAGGCUUAAAUGUAGAUUGACCGGUUUGGAAACAGACUUUUCGCAAGACAAUUUACAAGGUGCUGCAUGGUUGUCGUCAGCUCGUGCCGUGAGGUGUCAGGUUAAGUCCUAUAACGAGCGCAACCCCUGUUGUUAGUUGCCAGUGAGUUCACACCGGAAACAGCUAUGACCUCGCAUAAUAUUACUAACGAAUCAUUAGCACAGGCCUUAAUGCUGGUGGUGGUGGCAAUCUUAAUUAGCCAUAAAGAAAAACUGGCGCUGGAGAAAGAUAUUCUCUGGAGCGUCGGGCGAGCGAUAAUUCAGUUG